GAUGCACGUGGGCGGGGACGGUCCGCCGCUGGAGCUGGACGAGGAGCUGCGGCCGCGCCGGCUGUUCGAGUCGACCGUGCACUC
Molecule: transfer RNA, 84 nt
Filed under: Actinoplanes lobatus
Lineage: Bacteria; Bacillati; Actinomycetota; Actinomycetes; Micromonosporales; Micromonosporaceae
Description: tRNA-Ser
Source: RNAcentral